AUACCCUGACACAAUUACUUCCUCCAUAAGCCAAAGUAGCUUAUUGUUUGUGGCGCAGUGGACACCGAAUCAAGGGCAGAAUGUGCAUCGAGAUCCUUAGAUCAAAUUGUAGUACGAGGUUAGGUAACAGUGAGAGUAUCUAAGUACUUUGAAAUAACCAGGCGUUACGUUGGAGCUAAUGAUUAACGCUGCAUGUCGGCUGUUUAAGUCGCGAUUUGACAGGAAGCUACACGGUCUGGGCUGUCUUCGUAAGCUAGAAAUCACUUUGGUAUCUGACUUCACGUUCACCGUCUUUCCAGACCUGAUAAUCAUCGAAUCGCACGUACAUUUAUUCGGAGAAAGAUUUAACACCUGGUCGAAAAUCGUUCACAUGGCAAAGAUUCGUCGGCGUCAGUACUAGUAACCGAAUGGCUGACAAAAACUAUUUGUUUAAUAUAUCACUUCACGACAUACGCGAAUAAAUAACACGAAAGCUGCAUCAGCUGUUGGGAAUGCUUCAAUAUCAGGUCCAGAAAUCGUGAAUGCCUAUGAUUUCGGCAAGCUUAGCGGUGAACUACCCGCAGACCUUGGAAGUUUUUAAAUUACUUUCUGUUACACAAUACCGCUGCAACAGUAAGCGGUCUAGAAGCACCAACUUACCAAAGGGACGAGGAAGAUCCCAAGGCAAGACAACGCUGUGAUGUACGGCCGAGUUGACAAAUGCUAAUGGGAUAAACAAAAUUUGGCUAAUUGUUACUCGAGUUUCUACCAGAAACAUGUGAGUGGAAACCGGUGGAGUUUGCCUUAGGAAAAAUACAUUCAGAAGGAAAAACAUCGUUUAGUCUCGAAAAUGAACGCUCAGCAGUCAAGUCUUUGUUCUUCGAAGGCCACAGCGUUGUAGAGAUGAACUGAAUAUUGGCCAAGGUUUUAGGUAAAGCGGCCUUCAUCGGAAACACAGUACGUGAAUGGCGCGAACGUUUCAAAAAGAGAGAGUAAGGUCCUGAAGAGCAGCGAAAACCCGAAACCCAAAUAGUAAAAGCGUAUUGCCGUAAUCAAGAAAACUUUUCACGAAAGCAGAGCUUGAAGUCAAAAGCUAAACCCGGAACUCAACUUAUUAUAUAAUUAUAAUUCAAAAACUGCAAAUGACGAAACUGUCUAAAAAAUGUGUUUACCGUGAAUUAACUCCAGGCCAAAUACAAGUGCGUGUGGUAUAUCACAUUUCCAAUUUUCGGAGCUUUAAUCAAUAUGAUCUAAAAUGAUGGUACUACCUGCAAUGGA
Molecule: long non-coding RNA, 1257 nt
Organism: Varroa destructor (honeybee mite)
Lineage: Eukaryota; Metazoa; Arthropoda; Arachnida; Mesostigmata; Varroidae
Source: RefSeq, a predicted model, not a curated record